Molecule: long non-coding RNA, 2582 nt
Organism: Pan paniscus (pygmy chimpanzee)
Lineage: Eukaryota; Metazoa; Chordata; Mammalia; Primates; Hominidae
Source: Ensembl
AAAUAAUUUACUUCAGCCAAUACAGAAUGUGCUCUUCCUGAAGUGAAAGGACUUUUCUUCCAGAACUGAAGAGUCGCAUCGGAUUCAUCAGCUCCAGAGGGAAGAGGUGGCUGUGAUCCUGCUGGAGUCGGAGCAGCUCCAAAGGACACUCACAGAGAGAAGAAGGCUGAGACUGCGUGUAUUGUCUCUGGAUUAUAUACAGCAUUUAGUUUUUAGAGCAAUAAAAAUAUUAGCUAUAAUUUCCUGAGAACCUAAAAUGUACCAAUCCCUCUUCUAGGCACUUUCUGUACUUUAUUUUUGUCUCAUUACAAAAACUUUUUGGAGUUGACAUUGUCAUCAUUCCCAUUUAAAUGCAAGGAAAUUGAGUUUCAGAGAAGUUAAGGUGUCUUGUAAAGAUUAAAUCAACCAAUAAAUGUGUGGUGCUUAGACUGGUACUUACCAUGUAGGAGUUGCUCAGUGGACUUUUGUUAGGAAGCUCUUUUUCUCCUGCAAAGCAGGAACUUAGGGAAGGUGAUCCAUGCUCAUGGCCUGUGGCAAGAUCAAUCUGAGACCCACUGGUCUAGAGAGAGCCUGUUCCUCUGCAUAUUCCCAAGUGCCACAUGCACAACACUGGACACUCAGGGAACUCUUUAAAUGUUGGGAAUGAGUGGAAAGCCCUUUCACAUUGCUUCUUUCAAGGUUCUAACUGGCGGUCUUCUUCCUUCCUUCUCUUCCCAAGGCAAAUGAAGACUGGACUUACUCCUUGAGUGCAAAACACACAACAAAGGCUGAAGGCACUUCAAGCACUCGUGGUGCAAAGAUCGGGCAGAAAAAUUCAGAUGCAUCCUCACAAAAAUUAUGGCAGCAGCAAGUAAGAAGAUAAUGAUCCUGAGAAUCAGCACCCAAGACCAGCGGUCAGUCCAGCAGGAAAGAGAUAAAGGUGGCAUGGGACAAGCACCACCCUCACCUCUGGGGACCAUCCCCCAGACACCAAGCAGGAAGACGAAGCUCAGGUCACGUUCAUCAUGGCUGAACUCCAGGUCACCUGUGGUGCAGAGAAAGUGGCUGGCUCAGAUGUCCAGGCCUAUGAGUAGGAACAAUGACGGGACUUUCUCUGAAGCUUGCAUUGCACUUAUCCGCAGCGGGGAAGGGGUUGCGGAAUGACCUCUCUCCUUGUGAACUCCAGCAGAGCAGUUUUUCUGUGUGUUUGUUUUCUAUUUUUCUUGGUAUUGUUUUGUUUUCUAAUUUUACAAAUUGAAAAUGAUAUAUGACCAAGUUUACUCUUCUCUCCUUGGAGACUGAAUAAUUUUUCAAAUCUUGACUGACCAUCUUCUCUUUCUCAUGGACGAAUCGUCCCUUCCUGGGUUUAGAAGUGCAGUGCUGUGUUGAGCAUAUGGACAUGACUGUGAGUCCCUGGCCGUCUUCCGUUUCUCGUGGAGGAAUUGUCCCUUUCUGUGUUUAGAAGUGCAGUUCUGUGUUGAGCAGACAGACAUGACUGUGAGUCCCUGGCCGUCUUCUGUUUCUCGUGGAGGAAUUGUCUCUCCCUGUCUUUAGUACUGCAGUGCUGUGUUGAGCAGACAGACAUGGCUGUGAGUCUCUGGGCUUGUGCCCUGGCCCAGUCAUUGCCUAGGCAACUCCCUCCCCACGGGCACCUGGCCUCUCUCCACUUUACUUUCUGAACCUGUAAAAGGGGUAGGAGGAUGGAGGAUGGUAGGUCCUACCUCACAGAGCUCACGAGAGGAUUGGUACAGAUGAAAGCACUCGGAACACUGGCUGCAAUAUGAUAGGUCCUCAUCCAAUGUUAAUUACCAUUAUAAUUAUAAGCGUCUUUUAAAAGUAUUUGUCAUAAUACCUUUUUAUGUGGAUGGAAAGAGUGAUAUAAAUUUUCACUGUCAUGAUGUGAACAGAACCUGGAGCACGCUUGGGUGGAGCCUGGAACUUUGGGUUAUUGAAGAGCCUGCUAGCACUAGUUCUAACAGCUGAGAUAUAGAAUCAGUCCAGGUGUCCAAUAAUACAUGAAUGGAUGAAGUAUCCAUGGAGAUACAUGAAUUGAAAAUGUAUAUACACAUACACUUUAAAAUUUGUGUAUACACAAUGGAAUACUAUUCAGCCAUAAAAAGAAUGAAAUCCUGUCAUUCAUGGCAAAAUGGUUGGAACUGGAGGACACCGUGUUCAGUAAAACGAGCCAGGAACACGAAGUUAAACGCCUCAUGUUCUCACUUAUUCGUGGAAGCUUAAAAAUGCUGAUCUCAUAGAAGUAAAAGGUAGAACAGAAGAUCCUAGAGGCUGGGAAGGAUUGGAGAAAGGGAGAGAUAGGGAGAGAUUUGUUAAAGAAUACAAAAUUACAGCUAGACGGGAGUAAUAAUUUCUAGUGUUCUAUACCACUGUAGGAUGACUACAGUUAACAAUAAUAUACAGUUUUAAAUAGCUAUAGGGAGGAUAUUGACAAGGAAAUAAUAAGUAUUUGAGAUGAUGGAGAUGCAAAUCACCCUGAUCUGAUCACUGUAAAACUUAUGUAUUAAAAUAUCCCUGUUUACCCCCAUGAAGGUGUACAAUUAUUAUGUGUCCAUGAAACAUAAAUAAAGUAAAUUUUUAAGACUCCA